This 499-nucleotide ribosomal RNA is filed under the name uncultured bacterium. Its description in RNAcentral is "bacterial SSU rRNA". It matches the Rfam family "Bacterial small subunit ribosomal RNA", at positions 899 to 1397 of the family's 1533-position model. The record is from RNAcentral.
ACUCAAAGGAAUUGACGGGGGCCCGCACAAGCGGAGGAACAUGUGGUUUAAUUCGAUGAUACGCGAGGAACCUUACCCGGGCUUGAAAUGCAGAGGAAUGGAGAGGAAACUUUCCCGCCAGCAAUGGUCUCUGUGUAGGUGCUGCAUGGUUGUCGUCAGCUCGUGCCGUGAGGUGUCGGCUUAAGUGCCAUAACGAGCGCAACCCUUAUCGUUAGUUACUAACAGGUAAAGCUGAGGACUCUAACGAGACUGCCACCGUAAGGUGCGAGGAAGGUGGGGAUGACGUCAAAUCAGCACGGCCCUUACGUCCGGGGCGACACACGUGUUACAAUGGGAGGUACAGAAGGCAGCUACCUGGCGACAGGAUGCGAAUCUUAUAAAACCUCUCCCAGUUCGGAUCGGAGUCUGCAACCCGACUCCGUGAAGCUGGAUUCGCUAGUAAUCGCGCAUCAGCCAUGGCGCGGUGAAUACGUUCCCGGGCCUUGUACACACCGCCCGU